GCCCGGGUGGCGGAACUGGCAGACGCACAGGACUCAAAAUCCUGCGAGAGCAAUCUCAUGUGGGUUCAAUUCCCACCCCGGGCACCA
This 87-nucleotide transfer RNA is filed under the name bacterium. RNAcentral's name for it is "tRNA-Leu". It matches the Rfam family "tRNA". From Rfam's summary of the family: Transfer RNA (tRNA) molecules are approximately 80 nucleotides in length. Their secondary structure includes four short double-helical elements and three loops (D, anti-codon, and T loops). The record is from RNAcentral.